GUAGGUGAACCUGCGGAGGGAUCAUUAACAUCAACAAUCAAUCGAGAAUGGGUGACAGAGGGGGAAUCUGAUGGCUCCUAGCCAUUCUGUUUCUUCUCUCUUCUCCCCAUUCUUCGAUCUCAACCCUGAACACAUCAAUACACACAAACAAACCCAAACUGGGAUCUCGUCAAGAGCCUCUCUCUCUCAUCCACAGCAAUGUGUGAUGGGGUUGAUGGCUCUUGUCGGAUCCUCCCUUUCUCUUUACCCCUGAUAACUUUGUUCAUUCUCUCCCCUUCAUUGUGAGGUUGUUGCUACCAAGCAGCACUCACAAGUAUGAUUUAUGAAUGUUUUAUAUCACUCCCCACCCUGGAUAUCUUGGUUCUC
This 366-nucleotide unclassified non-coding RNA is filed under the name rhizosphere metagenome. RNAcentral describes it as "partial ribosomal RNA internal transcribed spacer region". The record is from RNAcentral.